GACGAACGCUGGCGGCGUGCCUAACACAUGCAAGUCGAACGGAAAGGCCCUGCUUUGUUGCGCUGCUCGAGUGGCGAACGGGUGAGUAACACGUGAGUAACCUGCCCUUCACUUUGGGAUAACUUAAGGAAACUGAGGCUAAUACCGGAUAGGAGCUCCCGCUGCAUGGUGGGGGUGGGAUAGUUUCGGCGGUUGGGGAUGGACUCGCGGCUUAUUAGCUUGUUGGUUGGGUAGUGGCUUACCAAGGCUUUGACGGGUAGCCGGCCUGAGAGGGUGAACGGCCACAUUGGGACUGAGAUACGGCCCAGACUCCUACGGGAGGCAGCAGUGGGGAAUAUUGCACAAUGGGCGGAAGCCUGAUGCAGCAACGCCGCGUGCGGGAUGACGGCCUUCGGGUUGUAAACCGCUUUCGCCUGUGACGAAGCGUGAGUGACGGUAAUGGGUAAAGAAGCACCGGCUAACUACGUG
This 468-nucleotide ribosomal RNA is filed under the name uncultured bacterium. RNAcentral's name for it is "partial 16S ribosomal RNA". It matches the Rfam family "Bacterial small subunit ribosomal RNA", at positions 28 to 507 of the family's 1533-position model. The record is from RNAcentral.